Molecule: ribosomal RNA, 253 nt
Filed under: uncultured bacterium
Lineage: Bacteria
Description: partial 16S ribosomal RNA
Rfam family: Bacterial small subunit ribosomal RNA
Source: RNAcentral
UACAGAGGGGGCAAGCGUUGUUCGGAAUUACUGGGCGUAAAGGGCGCGUAGGCGGCCUUCUAAGUCGAACGUGAAAUCCCCGGGCUCAACCCGGGAACUGCGUCCGAUACUGGAAGGCUUGAAUCCGGGAGAGGGAUGUGGAAUUCCAGGUGUAGCGGUGAAAUGUGUAGAGAUCGGGAGGAACACCGGUGGCGAAGGCGGGUCUCUGGGCCGAAACUGACGCUGAGGAGCGACAGCGUGGGGAGCAAACAGG